Molecule: long non-coding RNA, 44206 nt
Filed under: Coffea arabica (coffee)
Lineage: Eukaryota; Viridiplantae; Streptophyta; Magnoliopsida; Gentianales; Rubiaceae
Description: long non-coding RNA (CARA_LNC005186)
Source: RNAcentral
UUUUUUUUUUUUUUUUGGUGUUGUGCGGGGGGGGGGGGGGGGGGGGGGGGGAAGGAGGAGGAGGAGGAGGAGGGGAAGUCAAUCAGGAUGCAGUGUGGUAAACGGGCUAGCCGAAUCCAAAAGCUCAAAAAGAAGGAUGUAGGUAUGGCUUGCAUUUGUAACCGUGGCCUACCUGCUUUGCCUUGUUAUUUGUUAAGAAACCCCACCGCAUUUUUGGCCCAUGUCAAGUAGUAGCACAUGUCAAAAGAGUCGUAGUUCUACUGGUGAGGAAGGAGGAUCCUGCAGCUGCUGAAUUUGUCCGUUGUUCCUUGGCUGGGCCUCUUUUCACUUUUUCUUGUUCUUCUGCUCAUCAAUUUCAAGUUGCAGUGCUAUUUGCGACCUGCCGUCAAAACUUAUAUAAUAUCCCCGACAUUAUUAACAUAUAUAUUGUCAAAGUUACCAGUUGAUCGAUCAUGUGAGCUCUGGACACAGCAGCAGUCUUCAGCCAGUUUCCUUCCUCUUAUCCAUGAUUCCAUGUUACAUGCCGUGCCUUCCUGGGAUCAUAGAUGGUUGUCUUCCACUGCCCAAUAUAGGCACCCCACCGGCCACCACCACCCAGUCAGAAACUCUGAUUGCUGCUGUUAAUUUAGGUUUUGACUGAAAACACAAAAUCCUUGGGUGGCAGAGGACACCGUCCAACGCAAAAUACUUCACUGCAUCCACAUACUAUUAUUACACCUCAGGAAGCAUCGAAUUUCUGCUCUGCUCAUCAACCUCAUUCCAUUCCUGAUGCAUACUUUGAUCCAUUCCUGAUGCAUAUUUUGUUAAAAGUUGGAAAGUCCCAGCAUAUAAAACUACUACUAAGUACCGGUUCCACAUGAUGCCAUGUCAUGUCAUUGUCAACUUCUUGUAUUUUCGUCGGUUUUGUUGUCUAAAUUCGCACUAACACGGACACUGAAACUGUGUAUAUGAAUAUAUCUACGUUUGUCUCCCGUCCAAUUUCCUCAAUUACAAAUUGGGAGAGGGAAUGAGUUUCAUUCUCUGUGUCUUCUACUAAUGCCCUCUCUCCUAAUUCUACGCUUCUACCGACACUACCCUAUCAAGUUGGAUUGCUUUUUUUUCUUAAUUAUUUAAGCAUUGCCUAAAACUAAAUCAAUUGUUAUGAACAUUUUCAUUUCUUUCUUGACAGCUGAGCGUUUUUCUCGGAAACAAACCCCCUCACCCCAACCCCCCCCCCCCGGGCCCCCAAAAAAAAGGGAAAAAGUUGUCAACAUACUACUACUAUUCCUACUAUUCUUUCUAUUAUUUGGAGGGUGGCUCUUGGUUAUGGAACUGUAAGCAAGGGUACUUCCAAAUUGGAAAAGUAUAAAAGCAAAUUAUUAGGAUGACCACUAAACUUUUGGAAUCAUCAAAUUUUAACCACUGAACUAUUAAAAGUCUGGUUUUGACCACUGAACAAUUUAAAGUUUAAAUUUUGGAUCAUUCUGUUAGAUUUAAUUAUUAACUAUGUCUCUUUCUUUUGUCUCGUGAAUCGUACGGGCACUCAGAUUUGGCAUAGUUAAUGAUCAAAUCUACUGAAGGUCCGAAAUUUAAACUUUAGAUAGUUCAGUGACCAAAAUUUAACAAUUCUAAAAGUUUAGUGGCCAUCCGGAUAAUUUGCUCAAAGUAUAAAUAAACUAUGCAUAUUAUUUGAUAAAUAAUUGUUUAACGAAUACCUAAUUUCCACUUGUUAAUACUUCUAAUUUGCAUCUAAUUCAAUAUUUAAAUAGACACAUUCACAUUUGCUCUUAAACUUAGCCAUUUUCCAUGGAUGCCCAAUCAACAUGAGCUAAAAUAGGUUUUGAGUGUUUGCCAUAUCUAGUAAGUGUUUAAAUACAAAGAGAAACAUUAUACAUAAGUAGAUGUGAAUUGAAUCUUGAAAAUAAGUUAGAUGUGAUUUACUUAUGCUACGAAUUCUCAUAGAGCACUUACUAGAAAAACCUAUAAAAAAAAAAUAUAAUCAUGUGAUUUAUUGUAUAUUACCCUCAUAGUAAGCUUGUACUUUAACCAUUUUCUGUAUCAUAUUGUACGGUAGGUUAUUAAUUUUUUUGACAAUUUCAUAAUUUUGGAAUUAAUCUAAUGUUUAACAUGAGUUUCAAAUAUUAAUUUUUUUUUUUUGAAAAUAGCGAAGUUCAAUCAGAUGAGUGUCCAAAUGAAAAGGUUUAGACAAUCAUGUGUAUCUUUUUUAUCUGUAAUGCAUGUUCAUCUUUAUAAUCCUAUACGUAUGCAUAAGGCGUAUCACUGAUUUUAUUUUUUUGAUUUAUUGCCUCGCUUAUACUCUAUGUUUUUUCUUCUUUUUUUUUUUAAACAAAUUUCUCUUUUUAGAAGCACGCUGCCACUUUCCUUCUCAAUUUUCCCUUCUUCUUGUCUUUUGACGAUCAUGUUCAAUGUCAAAGUACGCGCGCGGAAACGAAAGAAUUAGAAUUCUUAAACUUGAGAACACGUUCCUAAUCUCUAUAGGAGGAGAGAAUUAGAAUUCCACGUUCACAAAUAUAACAUUUGAAAAGUAUUUUCGAUAGAUUAAUACCCCACACAGAAAAAAGCAUAAUCUAUCAUUCGGGGUUGCUCCAUGCAUUACCAUCCAUCAACUACCAUAUAAACACGGAUUGUUGGAGCGGGCUCAAAUCCCUGAAUAUAUACAUACCUGAUUCAAAAAAAUAUCCAAGUUUGUUGAACAAUCUGCCUAACCAGCAUUAUAACUAUACCAUCAGGAACAUCAGGUAACUAACUCUAUGCACACACACAGAGUAAAAUGGCUUUCAAAUUAAGCAAACAGUUGGAAGUUACAAAUGAAAAGUAUUCAACGCUUAAAGAAGAAAGAAAAAGGGCUGCAAUUUUUAUGGCCCGGCCUUAAAAGACCAAGCUUAUCAUUCAGAUACAAAGAGGAAAGUGAUCACUUUGUUUUUGGAUCUUAAAGUAACUAUUGGGAGGUAAUUAGGUAAAGCAUAAAGCUUUUUCCUCUGAUUCCUACGACCAGUUCUCCUAAAGCAACCAACUUUCAUGGGUUUCAAUAAUUUGUGUACAACGAUCAAAUUUAGCAGCCUAGCCAGCGCCCAUCCUGUAAGGCAUUUGCUUUUUCAUAAUGGGCGAGCGGCUAUCUCUUCCUUUCUUUUGACUUUCAUUGGGAAAAGAGCGCCUACUGGAACUUCUAUCUAUAUGAUUCUUUUUAUCGCCAAGUUCCUAGUGGGGAUCGAAAUAAGAUUAAAGCUUAAAAAAAAUAAAUUGAAGCGUUCUCUAAAGGAAAAAAGAGUUUUGAUCUUAGUUAAGAGUUUUGAUCUAGUAACUAAGGUUAAAAUUCCAAAAAUUUAGAGGUUUAAAUCCACUUCUUCCUUCCGUUUUUUUUUUUUUUUAAAAUCCCAUCGUCCUCCUAUCUUUUUUUUUGGGGGGAGGUGAGGUGGGGGGAGUAAGAAAGAGACAAAGAGUAGCUUACUUACACGAGCAACCCAAUUAUCGCUUAAGGAGGAAUUCUUCUCAAGGUCAUCAGGCUAAUUAAUGGCAAUUAACCGGAAAUUUAGCCACCCAACGCUAUCAGAAUUAUGUUGAUGUGACGUCUCAUAUCUGAACUAACACCUUUUUAUUAACUCCAUCGGAAAAAUCUGUUUUCCGGUAACUUUGCAUGAUUAAAUUCAGAUUACUAGGCAAGUUUCAUUUUGUACGGGACUUGCUAACCUAAAAUCGCACGGGCAAUCUGUUUGUUGAUUCCACUCCAUAUGCAUAAUAAAUAAACCAGCCCGCCUUUCCAAAGUUCUGACAGACUUCUUGGAAUGAGUUUUGUAAUCUUUACCUUCUUUCCCGUUUUCCAUUUGUAAAAUAGCGCAGGUAAUUCCGGGCUCCAACUCCUCAGAUAAAGAUCAUGAAAGGUGCCUGCGUGCGUUUUCUUUGACAAAACGGAAUCUAGCAGUUCAUUGGUCCCCCUCACAACUCUAUAAGAUGAUGCUACCGUUUUAUAAUAGAGGUUUCUUGAAAAAUAAUGGUAGAAUCAUCAAGGAAAAGCGACUUUUGGCUUGUAAUUAGUUACCGAGUCGCUAGAACCAUACCAAAUACCUCCUCUCCUUUACCUGCUCCAAAGUCCAACCACCCCUUCCUUCUACUUCCACUAAACCACAACAUCCAUAGAUCUAGAUGAUGGAGCUGCUAAUCCACUCUCGGAUGAAGAGCAUUUGUCAAAAUCAGUGAAACUUUAUAUCAUUGCCCCAAUCAACUAGAGUCGUAUCUGCUUCAAUUCACUGAAAGUGAACCAAUUAAAGUUACAAAAUAUAUAGCCGCCAAUCCUAGCUGUAUUGUGUGGGGUUUGGACUGUCAUCUUCAUGUUUGACAUGUACCCUCUUGCUUCAACGUCUAUUUCGCCCUGUCUUUAGUUCUCGGCAUCUUUAAAAUCAAACAACUUUCUCUCAAUAAUCCCCACGGGGGAGGAAUUCAGAACUCAGAACUCCAUCUGGAAUAUAUUGUCUGAAUCUCUCAACCGAAAAAAGGGAAAUGAAGAACAAUCUCAGCAGCAGCACGAAGCUUAUCCUCCUCCAUCCUUACAUCCAAAAGCAGGGCAGCUCCAAUAGGCUAUGGCUUCUUGCAUUCAUUUCAUUCUUCACUCUGGCCUUCCUUCUCACCCUGAUUUACACCAGGGAAUCCAUCACAGCUACAACAGCUGCGGCUGCCUCGGCUACAACUGGCUCCAGCAUUAAUCUUCCGCUGUCGAGUUCCGUCGUGAGGGCGCUUGUUCACUAUGCUUCCAACUCCAACAACACCGAUCACAUGUCCCACACCGACAUCAAACAGAUAUCGGAUGUCCUCCAGAAAUGCCGGAGCCCGUGUAAUUUCCUGGUGUUCGGCCUGACUCCCGAAACCCUUCUCUGGAAAGCCCUGAAUCACAACGGGAGAACAGUAUUCAUCGAUGAGAAUCGGUACUACGCUGCGUACAUUGAAGAAAAAUACCCAGAAGUCGAGGCCUAUGACGUGCAGUACACUACCAAAAUAACUGAAGCAAAUGAAUUGAUUGCUGCAGUGAAGGAACAAGUUAUGAAUGAAUGCAGGCCGGUGCAAAAUCUUCUGUUUUCCGAGUGCAAGCUCGGGCUGAAUGAUCUGCCUAAUCAAUUUUACGAAGUUGAUUGGGAUGUUAUUUUGGUAGACGGGCCUCGAGGGUACUGGCCAGAAGCGCCUGGCCGGAUGUCGGCCAUCUUCACAGCAGGUGUUCUGGCUAGGAGCAAAAAAGGAGGGAAUACAAAAACGCAUAUUUUUGUGCAUGAUUUCAAUCAAAAGGUGGACAGAACCACCAGUUAUGAGUACUUAUGCAAGGAAAAUUUGGUGAAAUCCAAAGAUAUGCUCGGACAUUUUGUCCUGGAAAGAGCGGAUGCUAAUGUUUUUCAGUUCUGUCGCAGCAAUUACACCUCAACACCAGCUUCUUCAUCAUCCUCGUCGUCUUCUUAGUUGGUAAUGUGCGUGUCAACACAAAUAAGUUUAGUCCUUUGCCAAUGAUCAGGAGGCGAACAAUUAGAUUACUCCUAUUUAUCCAUCUUUCAAAUUUUGACAUUUUGCUCGCUCCACCAGCUGCUGCUGUUGGUUGCAUGUAAAAUAAAUUUUUUUUUUUUUGGGGUUUUGGCAUGUAAAAUGUAAUUGUUUGUGUUAUAAGUUUCAUGUGCAACCUGAAAACUUGAAAGGAAUCAACAAUUUGAGACGUGUCGUGGAAGUUUUAAUUUCUGCACGAGGAAGAUAAAAACUUGGAAACUACUAAAGUGCUGCCCGGAUUGGCAUACAGAUUAGUACUAUUAUUCUGUACCUAAUCAUUGAUAUCCUAUAUAUUACUCUACAAACUCUGGGACCCUUUCAUGGGAGUCGAGCAAUUCUUUUUCCUUGUGGUGAGGCUACAUUUCAAUUUGAAUCGUCACAUGAAAUUUGUCAAAUCAACUUAUAAGUUGAUUAAAAAUCUUUAUUCUUGUUGAAGUCGAUUGAACUUCAAUCUCCAGGAACUUUAAAUCAAUUGCCGACAGUCCCUAGAACAAAGUUUUGUAUACGCACCUGUUAAGUCAUCUGACAAAUAUUUGCUAGCGUCAUUCAAAAGCCCCUGGAUGAAUUUCUAACGAAUAUGGGGCAAAUAUGUGCUAGCGAUGUCAAGGCUGUAAACAAACCAAAUUCUUAACGAAUAGUCAGUCAGGGUUUGAUUCGAGUUAAAUUCGAACUCAAGCUUGAAUCCAAUUAAUAAUUAGGAUUCGACUAUGGUUCAAAAUCUCGUUUUGAAUUUGCAAGUAUUUAGCUCGUUUAGGCUCAACAAAGCUCCACUAACUUUUUAUAUAUUUUUUAAAAAUAUGUGUUUGUUUUUAUUUUAUGUAAAAAAUAUAUUUCUCUACUAUUUUGUCAUAUAGAAAUUAUACAUGCAUUAUUACUAAAAAUUUAGAAAAAUAUGAGUUUUCAAAUCCAACUCGAACCCAAAUUUAUAGCUCGUGUAGAAUUCGAACUUGAUUUCAAUUUCAAAACAAAAAAUUCCAAUCGAGUUUAAUACCUCGAAUUUUGGAUUCGCUUCAAUUCUUUUACAGUCUGACAAUGACGCCCAGAAUGCUCUUGAAUCUCAAUCCAAUAUAAUGGUAUGGUUACUCCAGUGGAUUUAUCCCUCGUGAAUAAAAAUGGGGAACUGAUUUUCUAAUACCAAUGGGCACUAGAUUAGCAAAGAAUCAUAAAUAUUGAUCCUUUUUUGUAACUACGCUAAUAUUGGGUGAUAUAACAAAUUUUAUUUUUAACUAGGCCCAAUUUAGAAAUGCCGUUUAAGCUCACGAGAAAUGAGUAAAUCUCUUCAAUUCUUACCUUCUACCAAAUGUAUGAGUGAGAGAGAGAGAGAGAGGACUUAAAGAGUUGUUUUUCAAAAAAAAAAAAAAUUGAAAGAGUUAAUUAAAAGUUUGGGGCCUUGGUUUUGGGUGGUUUUUGGGGGGAGGGGGGAAAGGUCGGGGGUUAAAGUGAAAUUACACAUAGUUAUUAUAGUGGCAAGUGGGAAGCUGCAGGCCGCAACGUUAUUAUAUUGGCAAGUGUUGCCAAUGAUCAAGUGACGGUGUUUAUUCAUUUGGCAUCUUUCUCCUCGAGUAGUUAAGUUGAAGUCGGGGAAUAGAUCACAGAACCAGAGAGCUCCAACAACACCAUCGCAAUGACCACCGACUUUAAAACCCUCCCCCUUAUAGGUAACAAAUUUCUUUCACAAAACCCAAGAAUUCUUUUCCCGUCAUUUUCUUUUUGCCAUUUGUUGCAUAAUUUAUCCACUAUAGUUAGCCACCCUGCAAAGAUAAGGAGAUUAAAGGAAAAACAUGACCAUGGUUUCUUUCCUAAUAGUUUUAUUUUAUGCAGUUUCUUUCCUAAGUUGAGGAACACAGAACAAAAGUAGCAGGGAAAAGGCUAGUUAUGUUAUAGUAGUUUAGUUACAUUGAUUGGAUACAGGGAAUGGGAAUACUCAGUCGUUUUCCGGCUUCGUCACCCCGGGAGGAAAAGGGAUCUCUACUGUUGUAUUUAUCUGUAAUUGUCAGCGCAAGGUUUUGAAUAUCCAAAUCGGUAUUUUGGUCUCUUUUUGCUGCCAUUGUUGAACAUAUCCCUGCUGAAUAUUUUACGAUUUCACUCAAAAGAAAAUUGUAUUAUCACCAGUUAAGGUCCUAAAGUUUCAAUUUCUUUCUCUGAAAAAAAAAAAAACUCUUGGAUGUUGGUCAUAAAGGUUACGCUACUUGGUUGAGUGCUACUACUAGUAUAUGAGAACUGACAUUUGCUCGUCUCAGUUGUUUGCUUCUUCUGCUUCUUUGUUUGAAUCUUGCCUAGAUGUUAGUCCUCUUUUGGAGAAAUGGGAUGAUCCAAUCAUGGCUCAAGACAAAGGCGUGGCCGAUGUUGUGCGACAGUUGGGUCAGGCAUGUAAAGAAGCAGGAUUUUUUUACGUGGUAAUUUAUUAUGCUUAAAUGACUUUUUCGUGGUCUUUGACUAUGCAUACUUAUAACGAGAAAGCAUGUAGCAUUUCUUGAUUAAAGUAUCGAGACAUUUAGAUUGUUCUACGCUGGUUUAUUUUAGUGGCUUAGAUGGCAACCAAUUUUAGUUUACUGGCAUAUGAAUGCAAAACCAGAACUGCUAGGGUUCAUGAAUUUAGGAGGCUGCAUUACUAGUUGAAUAUUUUCAUCUCUGUCUUUUACCUAGGCAUGUAGGUAGAAGAUGGUCCUGUUAGAGUUCGUUCAUCUCCACCUGUUUGAACUGCUUCACAAGUAUAAUUUGAUUUCUUUGCGUUACUUUAGUUUUGAGUCACUCACAAGGUACUUGGAAUACCUACAGCCUCUUCUUUUCAACCUCUCUGCUUCUCAUUCUGCUAUUAUAUAUAUGCCUAAAGUUGACUUUGGAUUGCACAGAAGGGCCACGGCAUCCCUGAUUCCCUUGUCAAAGAGGUCAGAAACAUAGCACAUAGAUACUUUGAUUUACCUUAUGAGGAGAAAAUCAAGAUCAAACUCUCUGCAACAACUGGAUACAGGUUUGCUUCUUGUGGAAAAAUUUGAUAUCUAGUAGGCUAUAUGUAGGGUCAAUAUUUUAGUUCCGAUUCAGGCUUCAUCCUUUUAUUUCUUACUAGGAUAACUUAACAUUUUGAUUGCAGAGGAUAUCAGCAUGUUGGAGAAAAUAUAACCAAAGGGGUACCUGAUAUGCAUGAAGCUAUUGAUGUAGGUUUUACUUUGCUCUAGGUCGUACUAUCAUGGAGAUUAUUCUAUAUAUGUACUUUGCCUUGCUGAGUUUGAAUUUUUGGUAAUUACAAAUUUUAAUCACUCAUUAACCUGGUAAAACAUAUAUUUACAAACCUCUGCUGGCUAUAAAUCUGGUAAUCUAUCUGUAGAAUGAAUGGCCUUGUGAACGCUCAAUCGGUCCUGCCAAUGGGUGUGCAAGUUGAUGCUGAGUUGAAUUUGCCUGCCUACCUUAUUAAGGCUUUCUGUGUUGGGGACUUUAUCUUACACCUGCUGUUCUAGAUGUUAUUUGGACAUGUUUUUAUCAUAGUGAAAAACCAAAUAGACGCUGCCAUGGGAAAGAACUGGGGAUGCUUGGGUUUGAAUAUUCCUUGACAACAAGCUGUUACCGACUUAAUGCGUCUUACUAAGUUUAUAUGAUAAUUCCAGGGUCAUUUUUUGAGAUUAGUGAAGGAGAGGGACAUGCUGAAGCCAUUAGGCGUUGUACAUAUGCUGCAUCUGUUGUACAUAGUGUCUUCAUGAAUUCAACAUCUCAUAAUAUGCAUUAUCUUUCCUUUUUAACAUUUUUAUGCAGAAAAUUAUGUUUUCUGUAUUCAUGAUUCAAAUAAAACUUGCUCCUCAAUUACAUGAAAAAUGAGACUAAAACUGCAAUGAAGCUAGAUGUUUUCUUCUGCUUCUUAGUUCUGGAAAAUUUUAGAAUAAUAUAAACUGUAUCUUUUUCUGUUUAUGUUCAACCUCUAUUUUUCUCAUUUUCCUUUUUUUUUUUUUGUUUUGGAGAAUAUCUAUGGUGAUCACAAUGAUAUAGUGGACCAUAUUUUGGAGCUUUAUAUUUUGCAAGCAAAGAAUCUGGAUGGGGUUCAUGUUAGCUUUGAUGCUAUCAUUAUGCUCUUGUAGCUCUUGCAGUUUUCCUCAUCAAUUUAAUCCUUCAGAUCAUUUUCAGUCUUUUGCUUUUGGAUAACAGUGCUAUAAAGAAGUCACAAAAGGAAUGUAUGGAGCUCUUGGUGAAACUAUGCAAGGUUCUAAUGUUUGGUAUGUGAGAAGCCAAACUGUUGUCUUUUAUGGAUAUGGCAUGAAGUUGAACACCAUUGAAGGUUACAAGUGCUUAUCCAAACAAGAAAGAAAGGGAAAAAGAAAAAAAAAUAAAAAAGGAACUCGACAACCUAUCACAAUUUAUUCUCUCUCUCUCUCUCAUCCAAAAACACAGGCACAACAUUCUAGUAUUUACCUGCUUGGUAAGCUUGUUAUUUUUAUGGAAGCAUGAGUACUGCCUGCACAUGGUAACAAGUAUGUUUCCUGGUGUAAAUGACACAUUGUUACCUUCUGUAGGCCAAGUCAUCCGCCGAAUUUCAAAAAAUUGAUGGAGGAGUAUGUCAACCUUUGCACAGGUGCAUUUUGAGUGAAAUUAUAUACCAUUAGCUGGGUUAUUGCUUUAUCUCUGACUCCAGUCCACUGAAUCUGACUUGGAUGCUAAACGUCGACAGAGCUGUCUAGAAAAAUUAUGCGGGGAAUAGCUCUGGCAUUGGGUGGAUCACCAGUUGAAUUUGAAGGGACAAGAGCCGGUGAUCCAUUUUGGGUGCUGCGUAUAAUUGGCUAUCCUGGUGUCUCCCCUGCAAAUGGCCAAGACAUGCCAAAAAAUGAUAUUGGAUGGUGAGAUUGCUGAAGAUGGAUUUCAUCUUCUUUUAUUUCACUUCUAGCACUUGAUUGAUGUGAUUUUGUGCUUGUUUAUGCCUUUUAUCCAAAUGAACGCAGUGGAGCUCAUACGGACUAUGGUAAGAUUCCCCAUCCUGGUUUGGUGUAAGCAUGAGGUGUUCUUAUUUGUACGUGAAGAUGAUCUCUUGUUCUAUACCAGGUCUGCUGACGUUAGUCAAUCAAGAUGAUGGUAUUACUGCUCUUCAGGUAUCGCCCUCCUGUCUACUUUCUUUUUUAUUUGCCUUCAUUUUUUAGCAUUAGUGUGUAUCCUGAAGUUCUUCGUGUUAUACUUAGGUCUGUUUCAUUAGUUUCUGCUUGAAAUAUACAUGUUUCUCUGGUUUUUCAUUGUCACUACUCUGCACUAUUAAACUAGUCCCUUUGUAGGUAAAAAACCUUUCCGGAGAGUGGAUAUCAGCACCACCCAUUCCUGGGACAUUUGUUUGCAAUAUCGGUGACAUGCUCAAGGUAUACAUCUCAAUAAUUGAUUCUCCAGUGGUUUUCAUACUGUCAUCCGAUAACUGUUCUUAAUAUUUGGGGAAUCUUCAGAUUCUAUCCAAUGGCUUUUAUGAAUCAACAUUGCAUCGGGUGACUAACAACUCUCCCAUUUAUCGUGUCUGCGUGGCCUACUUUUAUGAGGUAAUCCUCUCUCUUAAUUUUCCUUUUUUAUUUUGAUUCAGCUUCUUAAUCAAUCUCCUUGGUUUUUUCGCAUGAAUAGCCAAAUUAUGAUGCUGUAAUAGAGCCAUUGGAUGAAUGCGUAAAACAAACUGGUGGAACCAGGAGGUUUGAAGGUGCUGUUUACGGUAAACACUUGGUCAGUAAAGUCCUCACAAAUUUCAUAUACUGAGGAAUAAGUCUCCCCAUUAUGUCUGUUUCGACUGAAUUUUGGGGAUUUCAUCUGUUAGCCUUUGAAAGAAUGUACAAUAAUAUCUUGUGUUUAUUGGAUUAAGUUGUCGGUUGAUUUAGGAUGACAUGGCCUCAUCAAUUUCUCGGAGUUUUUUGAACUCUGUACCUAGUUGAUCCCCGAUUCUUUCAUUUGAUUUUGCCUUGAAUUGUGCAAUUAUUUUGGCGUAUCAGUAGUAUUCAUAAAGCACCCUCAACUUUGUAACAUGAAUAUAAGCUGGUUGGCUUAGGCUUAGGCUUUAACCAUGCAUUAAUGACAGCGAUGGUUUAGUGUAUACACUUAUAAAAAAUUUCGCUUACGGAGGAAGAUUUUAUCCUCCAGCUUCUGACAACAAAAUACAUACAUACACUUAAUAUUACGGCGUAAUGAUAAGGUAGGCACUUAGGCGGCUGGCUGCCGACACCGAAAUUCACGAGCCUGGCCCUUUUAAAGCAGCAUAUGUCGGCGAUGGAGGCCUUGGCCGCUUGGGCACAUGAUCGGAUGUCUGUGGUGGGCCCUUAGAAACAUAAAUGCCGCAAGGCACGUAGUAGAGCCAUUUCGGGUCCGGGCAGGUACAGCGCCUUGAGAAGAAAGCCUCGCAUUCCUCCGGGCUUCUUUGGCAAGGAAGGUCUAGAAUGCAAUUCAUGGUUACGUUCAGGACUUUCUUCUCGAUUAACUUCCUGCAUUCUGGUCCGACUUGAGUGAAGUAAUUGAACUUGAGGUCCAGUACCUCCAGGUCGCCCAGGAUGCACAAGCUCUCUGGAACCGCCCCGUAGAAUUGGUUGUACGACAAGUUCAGCUGCUGAAUAUCUUUCAAGCAUCCGAAUGAUUGUGGAAUGGGACCUGUCAAUUGGUUUAUGCUGACAUCCACAAUAUGUGUUUUAUUCAGAAACCCAAUCUCAUACGGUAGGCAACCGGAGAGACUGUUGUUUAAGAAAAGAACCUCGAGGAGAUUUCUGGAAGUUUGGCCAAUGCUCCUGGGGAUUGGGCCGGUUAAUUCGUUGUUUGCAAAGGUGAGAUAGAGUACAGGGGUUUGGCCAAGAUUGUCGGGGAUGUUUCCAGAGAAUGCGUUGUUGUUGAGGAAGAGUACGUCCAGGUCUAGUGUGAAGGCUUGAGGCGGGAUUGUCCCUGUUAACUGGUUGAACCUGACGUCCAGGUAUGUCAAGUUGGUUGCCCCUAGGGCUGCUGCGGGGAAAGCUCCUACGAGCUUGUUGUUGCUCAGGUCGAACUCGAAGAAGUUUGGAAGUUUGGAUAUUCCAAAGGGAAUGUCACCUGUGAAGUUGUUGGAGUUGACGUGGAAGAUUACCAGGUCCUUGAGAUCUUCAACGAAGUCUGUUGCAACGAGUGGACAGCCAGGUCCGCCGUUAAAGUUGAAGCCAUUGAAAUUGACGCCAACGACUCUAAACUUGUUAUCUUUGGUGCUUCUGUCGCAUACGAAGCCUUUGUAUUUGGAUUUGUCGUAACAGAUGCGGUUGCCCGUCCAGGUUUUGGUGACGCCAAAAGGGUCGUACUUUAUUCUCCUUUUGAACCUUCGGAUUACUUGGAUGGCCAUUUUUAGUUCCUUGGAAAGAGUAAAUGGAGGUGGCGGUGGCGGUGGUGGAGGUGGGGGUGGGGGUGGGGGUGGUGGUGACGGAGGUGGGGGUGGUGGUGGUGGACAGGGAGGAGGGGGCGGUGGCGGCGGGGGUGGACAGGGUGGAGGUGGGGGUGGGGGCGGAGGUGGACAGGGCGGAGGGGGUGGUGGUGGACAGGGAGGAGGUGGUGGAGGUGGGGGUGGCGGCGGAGGUGGACAGGGAGGCGGAGGGGGUGGUGGUGGACAGGGAGGCGGGGGCGGUGGCGGAGGUGGUGGCGGGGAAGGACACUUGGCCUUGGGGGGAUGCAUUGGAGGAUAUGCGGGCUUUGGAGGGGGAGGGGGAGGGGGCUGUGGGCAAUGUUGGCAUUCUCCAUUGUCAGGACGGUAGGCAGGGGAAUAGGGAGGACUGCCAACCCCUAUAACGAUUUCGAGUGUUUCCCUGUUGAUCGGGGUAGUUGCUGGAGUACCAUUACCAACGACUUGAUAAAACCAGCAAGAGUGCAGGAUGACAAAGAAGACAAGAAGAGGAAAUGUGAGUGAGAAAGUGCUCUCUCUCUCCAUAUUCCAACACUUCUGAUGAUUGAACCCGGAAGAAGGCACAACGUAUAUAUGCUAAUGGGGAGGGAAUGGAGGACCCAAUGAUCGGUGAGGUUUAAUGCGGGUGGUUCAGUGAUUUGAUCCAUACUGCCAAUAAAGAGAGAGUUCGUGAGGAUGACGUCCUUCAAUUGUACUAGGCGCGGUUAACAUUUUCUGUUGUUUUGGGCACUAUGAGUGGAGCCUCCUCAUGCAAUAUGUAGAUUCUUUCACAUACAUAAUUUUUUUUUUUUUUUAAAAAAGAGAUUGAAAAGAUAAAUAAAUAUGUUAAAAAAUCGUAAAAUGCCAUUUCUGCAAUUGUGAUCUACUCUCAGAUAGUAAUCGUCUCAGGUAGGCCACCAAAGUGACAUCAGACGUUUCAAAUGUUAAGUUCUCCGCUUUUUCUUUAUUUAAAAGGUAGGCCGUCUUUUAUUCUUUCUAUUUUCUUUUCUGCUUUAAGGUGAAGAGUGUCUUUUUUUUUUUCAAAAGCUUGAUUUUGAUUGUAAACCUGCCCAUCCGUUCCGAAAAUAUUUAAGAUUUACCGGAAAAAAAAUAAAAACUACAACUCAUUAGCUACAGCUAUCUUUACUCCGAUCUACUCUAUAAAUAAGAACAACACUUUCACUUUAAAAAAAAAGAAAAAGAAAAAGAAAAAAGAAAGAAUAAUACAUCGAUGAUGGAUGUCCAAUAACACGACGCACUUAGCUAGCACCUGCAAUGGCUGUGAAUCCGUUCCCUUUCAAACCCAGCAAGUCAGUUGCCCCUUUCACAAAAGGCAAUACCUACACAAACGGCGCAGCAAGUAGGGGAUAGUGAAGGGGAUAGUAACCAGUAGGACAAAACUUCGCAUGAUUGACCUUUCAACGAGGAUCUGUCCUCUUACAUAUUCCUAGGACAAUUGCCCUCCCAAAUCCCAAUGCAAUUCCGGAGGAGCCAUCCCAAUCGUCAAUACAUCAUUCCAAUCUUGUGCAUGUGCACUUCCUCCUUGAUGGCCUACUGUGUCGCAGUUGACAUGCGCAUCCCCAAUCGUCUAUUCUCAACGGCAUAAACAUUUUACACUCAAUUUUGUAUCUGCACUAACAAACUGUUCCCCUAAUAUAUCUUUACAGGCUACUCAGAUGCCAAUGAAAAUUAAAUAUCUUCAAGAGGGAACAAUAGGUUCCACUCUGCCUUUCCCAGAGUUCUAUAACUGCCCUUUUUUGCUGUCUUCUCUGGAAGAGUUCUAUUUUCAUUCCAUCUUUUACUAUUUUAAUGCAAACUUGGGCCACAAAAAAAAGGGUUCAUGAAUCCACCAAGUUAAGGUUUUUAAAUUUUCUGGCACAAUUUCACCACCAAAGUAUUCCUUUAAAUUUCCUAAAGCUUUGCCUUCAACAAUGAUGACCAUCCAAUCUGCAGCCUAUGUCAGAUAGUGAAGCAGCAAAAAGAUAAAAGAGGAAAGUAGAAAACAAGGCAGCUAAACGUGUUGCAUGAAAUUUCAACUGUCAGUGGCACUCGUAUGGUUUCUAACUUGUCCGACACCGGUGCGCACAGUUUUGCUAACACACUAGAUUUUACUGCACUUUUGUCUACAAAGAGAUGUCUAAAUGCUACUGAUAGGAUAGACGAAAACCACUACUCUGCAAAAGGAAGGAAGAUGGAACUUCAUUAUGAUUACAAAGAGCGCUAUGGUAAGAAAACUAAGCAAUCUUUAACCAAAUUCAAUGAAGCCAAGAACAGAAUGACACUGAGGAAGCAUAUAGUGAAACAGUGUUUCACACUGGCAAAUGUCUAAGAAAUGCAAAAGCUAAUACAAUCAACUCAGUACAAGUUACCCUUGGAAGGCACUAUUACCUCACCAACAGCACUGAUCAAGCAAAUAAAUUUCUUCCUACUAAGCAACUCUUCAGGUGAAAGAUUGUAAACAAUUUUAAGCUAAAAUGCUGAUAACCAAACAACAGAGUGAAGUACAUUCAUGAUACUUUAGGACCAUGAUUAACAAAAUUUUCCAGCUCAAAAGCCAAAUAAUGGCAGAAGAAGGAUAAAGUAACUUCUCUUACCUCAUCACAUGUCACAGGAAGAAUCAAGAGGAACACUGAGGUGUUGUAAUCAACUCUCAUGCUGUUAACCUCCUCAUUCAACUACUCGGGCAUUACUUUCACUAGUAGCAAGCUAACAGCUAUUGACUAGCAGUAGAAAGAAUAACAGUGUAACUCAACCUCCUCAGACACCACUUUGGCAGAAUUCUAUACAACAGCAAGCCUCAAAUAUGAAAUCUCUUCCAGGACCAUAAAUCUCAUGUCGCAAAUCCAUUUGCAGAUACCCUCUCCACUCUGCUAUCCUUCACAUAGAGUGGUAUCCUCACACCAAGAUCCCUAAGUCGAUUAACCACGACGUAGAGCAACUCAAAUGUGAGUUUUGAUUGUGCAUUAAGGUGAUCUCUUACAUUUGGAUGUACGCUGAACCAAUCUCCUAGCAUCUUAUGCACAUGGGAACGAAUCAUUCUCCAUGGCACUGGAUAACUCUCACAAAACUUUAAAUAUUCAACUAGUAAAUCCGCCUGGUCCAGCUUUCCACCUACACAGAUAUCAUCACUUCCUGAUACCCAUUCGACAGUACGGUAUCCAGCAAAAAGGGCUGGGUUUUCCAGCAGAGACUCAGCUAAAAGUACCCCCUCAACCCCAGUCUCAUCCAAACAGCUCUGCACAUCUUCCAUGUAUCUUAUAUUCCCAUUAGCCAGAACAGGGAUUCUCAUGACAUCUCUAACAGCCUUGAUGGCAUUCCAAUUGGCACGAAAUUUCUUCCCAUCUUUUUCGUCCCUAGUUCGACCAUGUACUGCCAAAAGAGCACAACCAGCAUCUUCCAACAUCUUGGCAUAAUUGAUUGUGUCCUCAAAAUUCGUGAAAAGUCGUAUUUUGCAGGAGACUGGAACACUAAGGUUGUUUGCUAGUUUUUCUACCAUAGAUUUAACCAAAGAUUGUCCAUAAGGAAAGCUCCAUAAUUCCCUCGCCUAGCGAUAUGCUGCGGACAUCUGCACGGAUGGCAAAUAUACAACGCUUAACUAUGCCUACUUUCAACCAAACUCAACGAAAAGUGAUUGUAAUGAUACAAGCUGACAGCAGGACAACUUCCAGAUGCCAGUUACAUGGAAUUGCAAGGAAAUUAUACUCGAAAGAAUUAGCCACGACAAAAAGUGAGCAAUCAGUAUAGUUAGAGUCAAUAUGGAAAAACUGUUCUAGAAUACAUGUACGAGCGAAUAUGGAGAUAAAUAUGCAGCACUAGGUGCAAUAUCAGCUUAAUGAAAAUGCCCGUUAUGUCAUUCAUUACUGGAGUUCCUCCUUCUACAGUAGUUAGCAAUAGUAGCUAAACAAGGAAGGAAAAACAUGGGUAGAAGGCAUUACCCCAAAUUGAUGUCUACAUAAUCGCAGUAGGGUUCUACUCUCCGCGCAGCCUCCAACAAUAUAUCUGGAUCAUUCGCACAAAAUUGCACAAAUAGCUGACGGUCCUCCUGUCAUCAUUUCUCAGCAAACUUCUCCUUAAUGAAAUUCAAAACUAUACAACUUCACAGACUAAGUAACAAGAAGCAUAAGACAAGUAACUAAAAACAAGACCCGAAAUUACCUUGCAGGUGGUAAACUCUUGAGAGCGGUACUUUUCAGUUUCGGUAAAAAUACGAGAGUGAAGCAUAGGGGUAUAAGCAGCUUGAGCUCCGUACUUGCGGCAAAGCAUGCGGAAGGGGAGCUCGGAGUUGUCGACCACGGGGGCCACUAUGAACUUAGGUUGCCCAAGCUUCUUCCAGUGUGCCCAGGCUCUCUCGAUCCGCGACUCUCUGCUCAGGUACCCGUUUGGAUUUGGGGCCGGGAGGCCGUCCAAAUGGGCUGUCUCUCCUUCUGGUUCUCCUUGUGGUUCGGAACACAGGCGGUCGUCGUCGUCGCCGCCGUCUUGGUUGACGGCGACGUUGCAGUUUGACGAUGAAGAGGAAGUUAGGUUUUGGAUGGCCAUCAAGUUAUACGAUGAAUUGGGCGGCUGUGGGCAAAUACUACGUGUGGCGCAGAGUGGCUUCCUAAUAAAUCUCAUAAGGAGGCGAUGAAGGCUGGGGAGGGUACGCAGCCCAUGACCACCCUGGAAGUUGGUGGGGAAAUUUUUCCUUCAGUUUAUUUGGAGGGAGGAGGCGGGGACCCCGCGGGAUUAUAGCUGUUUAGAUGGGUGAAAAAAAUCGGAUCCGGGGCAGGAAGGCUACGUGUAUUUUGCACGCGCGUAACUCGAUUUACACACAGAUAUAAUUUAUUUUCAAUAACGUGUAACUCAAAAAUAAAAUUUUUUGAAUUCCACACAUAUUGUAAAAAAUGAGGUAUAAAAUAAAAUCUGGACCUUACAAUUUUUUUGAUCAAAUCUUGACCAUGAACUGUCAGGAACGGCCGUAGAACCCUCUUCCAAAAAAAUCAAAUCUUUUCUUCAGACGAGGAUAGGGUUGUUUUGGAGUUGAGGCUCCAAAUUGAGGACGCGGGGCUGGAGCGGUUGUCAGAACAACCGCUCCGGAAGGUGUAACACCAUGUGUACAUGGUGUAACAUCAUCUAUACAAGGUGUAACAAUAGAACAACAGCGAGUAAUAUUAGAACAAUAUUUUUGUGGGUCCCACACGGCGUGAAAAUCGAGUUACAAGACGUGAUUUGAGCCGUACAAAUUUUUGAGAUUUCAUCCAGGCCGUGAACUGUCUGGGACGGUUGUCUCUGGCAACCGUCCAGGCCCCUCGUCCCCAAAUUGAAGUCUGAUGUUGAUGCAUACUAAGUAACUUUUAAGCCGAAUUACGAGGUCAAGACAAUUAAUCCGAGUUACAUAAUAACUCGUAGGCUUGAGCUUACAUAUCAACUAGUAUUUUGAUUGGUGCUAUGCACGGAUUUAUAUGAGAAGGAAGAGAAAUAUGGUCAAAUACAACAUUAUUAUCCCUUUCUCUCAUAUUCUUCCUCUUUGUGCCACUUUUUCCACCUCUAAACCUCCUACUCUCCACUACUCUCCUUUUCACUUUGUGAAUAUAACUUUUUCGCAUCCCUACAACCUUUUGUAAUUCUUUGAAAUCCUUCCCAAUUUUUUUGUAUUCCUACAACCCUUUCUAUUUUUAUCAAAUCCUAUUUUCCCUUUGCUCUAUCUCGCUGCCGCCCAAUUAUCCUAUCUCGUAUCUAAUUUUACAACCCACUUGUCUCCUAUUCUACUAUUAUUUUUAUCUAUUUAUAAAUGUAAAUGGUAACAUAUUUAUUUGGCUCGCCUACUAACAAAUGAGUUUGCGUGUGUAAUUUAAUUGGAUUGAAAUUGGUGACCAAAUUAACCCAUUAAUUAGUGGGUAUGAAAUUGACAGAUUUGGAUCACUUAUUUUGACUUAAUUAAAUUAGAUGUAGAUUCAAACUCAAUCAUUAGUGGGUAAAUCUAAAUUACUCUAAUAAUUAUAUUCUAAUUUUUGCAAAGAUGUAUUCAUCUUUUUUCCUCCUCUUUAAUUUCUAUUAUUUUAUUUUUUAAAAUUUAUCCUACUUCCUUAAUUUCUUUCAUAAAAGUUUAAUAAAUUUCGCGAAUAUUAAUUGAUUGUUUGCAUUAAUAUCUAAAUUAUUUUUAGAUUGUCGUAUAGUGAUAAAAUUUGAAACUCACUGUGAUGAUCAUUUUAGGCUCCUUUAAGCAAAUUUUUAUGUUUUUUCCUCUUUCUUUAGAUAAAAAUUGAUUUAUUAACUUGAUAUGUUGAUAUGAUUUACUAUUUUGUUGCUAUACAAAAUAUGGAUGAAAAAGUAAAUAAAAUUUGGUUGUGGGCUGUGAAUGGAUGAUUGGAUAAUCCAAACCCAUAUAAAUCUAUAUUCAUUUAUGAUUCAUCUAUUUUGAACCAUUAACUAAAUAGGAAUAUAUAGAUUAACCUAAUUAUAACUUACCCAGACUCAUAUGAAUCAUCAAAUUUGAUAACUGUCCCCUAAUCUUUACCUUCGCUAACCCUACAGUUCUAUCUUUUUAAUGCUUUCACUAUUUAGAAUUCAUUAGCUCACUUUUUAAGUGUUUUUGGAUAUAUAAAAAGUUAGAAUUAUUUUUCCAAGUUGCUGCCUCAUUUUUAAGUGUUUUUAAUCAAAUAAAAAGCUAGAAUUGCAAUCAUCGAGAAAAAGUAAACUUUCGGAUGUAAAAUUGGUGAAAUACAACCUUUUUAUCAAAAUUUUGCUAAAAUACCACCAAAAGCAACCUUAUAAAUACACCUUUAUUAAUUUAAAAUUCAUACAUAAAUUUUUCUUUACAUGCACUUUUUGGUAUAUAUGUGCUAAAUGAAAAGUCAUAUAGAUGCUUGCACGAUAUUAAUAUUGAAAUUAUUCUAAGUGCAAAUAAAAUGUCAUAAUUGUUAUUUACAUAAUCCAAUUUAAUGUUAGAGUAUAAUUUCAAUAUUCAAAUUUUAAAACUUUAAAAAACAAACCUACUGAAUAAAAUCCAACAUAAAAAAUAUAAAAUUAUAAAAAGUAAACCUAAAAAGUGCCCUCGGCUUGUUGAAUACAAAAAAAAAAGUUUAAGACCACAAGAAAAUUGAUUUGGUGAUUGAAACAUAAAUUAUUAAAAAAUAAGAGUAAUCGAGUAUAUCAUUAGAAUAUUUUGACAAAUGAUUAUUGUACCCAAAAGGAAAGCGACAAAGAAAUAAUUGGAUGAAUAACUCAAAAAUAGGACUAAUCACAUUAUCUCAAGGAUUUGGCUAGAUAAAUUAAUCCUCUUUAAUGAAGGAAUAAAAAGGGCUAAAGUGAUGAGGAUAUAAUAGGGUGAAUAAUUUUAAAAUGAAACUAAUCAAUUAUCCCUGAGAAAUUUGGCUUGACAAAUGUAUUUUAUUUAAUUAAGAAGUAAAAACGAAUAAAAAAAUAAAUAACAAAUGAUAAACAGUUUAUGAAGGAGAUAGUUGGAAAGUUUUAAAUUUUAAAUUUAACUAGUGAUAGAAUUAGUUAUAACCCACUAUUUUAAAGUUUUUAAUUAGAUUUUAUGUCUAAAAAUAUUCCAAAAUUCUAGAAAAAAUAAUGAGAAAAUUAGAAGCCAUUGAGAGGGUCUCUGCUAAAAACCCUCUCUGCAAUACAUAUAAACAAGCCUAGUACCUUGGACAAACGAAACAAAGGCAAAUUAACAAAUAUCUAACAUACAUCCUAUAGCAUAUGAAUGUUGUCCAAUUCGGUGGAAACAUCUAACAUGUUUCUAUAUGAAAACUUAUGAUGAAAAUACUAUUUUAAAUCCUAUCUCUCCAUACAAAACAAAUAGAAAAUAAAAUCAAAACGCACAAAAUUCAAGAUAUGUUACUAAAUUCUUACAAUUGAAAAUGAACAUGUCUUUUUAAAAAAGAAAAAUAUGUGUCGAAGGAAGAUUUACCUGAUAAUCAAGAGGAGUGGAAAACCAAAAUCGAUACUUUAAUGUGCCAACCGCUUGCACUGGAAAAUACCUAACCAUAUAAAGAGUAUGAGAACCCGAAAAAUUUUCUUAUUUUUAUCGAAUAAUAUUGGCUUAUUUAAAUAUUUAUCCACAUGUUCCCUCCAAAUAAUUUAUUUCAACCCUUUUUGAACCAUUUACAUGGAACUAUGACUUGCAAUAAUAAAUUUAUCCACCUGUUCCGUUAAUAAAUUUAAUUUUCGAAAACUCGUUUAGUGAGAAUAGUGAAUACACGUUUGGAAAUAGUAAUGAGUUUGAAAAUUUGGAAACUUAUAUAUAUUGGUCUUAAAAUAAGUAUUUUUAUGUUUAAGUGCUCAAGUGAUAGUUAGUUGUACUAUCGUUAUAAGAACUUCUUAGAAAUUUAACUCUAUCACGCAUAAAUCGAAAAUACGUGUUUUUACGCGCGCGAUCAAUUGAAGGACUUAAGACCUUUAUUUUGAGACUAUUAAGAGUGAAUAAUGAUAGUAUGAAUGGAAGUGCAAUAGAGAUUUAUUGCACUAGUGAAACAAACCCGAGAGGAAUCAAGCAUGAGACGCACGCGUACGUGCACUAUUCCUAGUUGACUUUUAAAGGAAUUUUUGGCCACAAAUUUUAAAGCUUCUCACGGAAGCUUACCAUCAGCACCAUCUCUUCUUUUCCUUCUCCAAGCAGCCGGCCACACCAAUGGAAGAAAGAGCUAACCUUCUUCAUCAUUUCACUUCACUUUACUCCACCAAAUCACUUCAAAUUUACACUAAACUUUGCUAAACACUUGGAGAGCAACUCAAGUUGGAAAAAGGACUUCAUUUUCACGGUUCUUGUGAGCUUUAAGAGGACCGAAAUUUCUGUCUAAGUCAUCAAUUAAGGUAAUCAAUAAUCAAUCUUGAAAUUCUUGGUUUAUGGAAGUAAUAUAGCACUUAUAAGUUCAUAUCUUCUUGUGGGUAGCUUUAUUUAUGUUGAAAAGUUCUUGUGUGGGCUCUAUGAACUCCCACUAUGAUUUGAUGGACUGAUUUGUGGUGUUUUGAUGUUAUUAAUGUUGGUUUAGUGCUUAAAUUAGUAGAAAUGAGUGAUAUUAUGGAUGAAAGUUCAAAGGGAGUGAAGAUGAAAAACUUUCUGUUUCUGCCCCUGUGAAUGUCCAUGACCCUUAGAGCAAAAUUUUGUAGUUCUAUUGACUUGUUUAUGAUAUAUACAUGUUGUGUGGGUGGUGUAGAAAGUUUCAUCAAAAAAUUUCAUGAUUUGGUUGGCCAAAUGAUGUGUUUUCGGAAGUCAGUAAAAACUGGAAAUUUUCCCGUAACUGCUCUGGCAGUGUUUUUGUUUUGGUUAUAACUUUUUACUUCGAUAUCAAAAUCGAGUGCCGUUUGCUGCACUGGAAACUAGACAUUCCCAGAUUUCCAACGGUAUAAAAUUCACGUCCUGAUUCCUCCUGAGUAGUCUAUACCAAUCGUUUGAACAUGACUAUCCUGUUUCCCUAGUUCACUGGAAGCUCUGUUUUGAGCAGCAAUUUGAUGCUCAAGUAUGAGCUAGUUGUGGGCAGAUUUUGACAACGAUUUCUUCUAAAAAACUGUAGCUUUAUGAAUCUAGUUUUCAACGCUACCAACCACACUCAAUUCCAAGUUGAAUUGAGUGAGUUAUGGCCGUAUUUCGAAACUGACUCAAUGAUUUGAAAUCCUCUUUUGGCUAGUAAAUGUCUAAAUCUUGAUUGGGACUUGUUGUCUGAAAAUUCUUGGUGUUAAUCAUCUACCAAAUGUAUCUUGGAUGUUUCUUAGACAUUGUCUAUGCAAAUAGACCAUGUUUGAGAUACUUGGUUGGUCAAACGUUUUGAAAACGGAAAAAGGAACAACCAAGACAGAUUUGCCUUGGAACUUUCGUGAUUUGGUUAACCAACUUUGCGUACGUAUUUUUCCAUGAAAUUUGACAGAGGCAUAGCCCUUAUAUGGUAGGGUGGUACUGCCAAAUUUGGUGCCAUUCCGAAUCCAUUUCAAUGCUUAAACAAAGUCCCAAAGUUUAUAACUUAAAUCUGAAAAAUUUGCCUAACCGUCUCAAUUUUUCAGCAACUUUGAGCUACUAUAACUUGGUCCUCAAAACUUUGAUUCUUGUUCCGCUCAUUUUUUUUUAAACUUUGAUUGCAACUCUAAUUGAGUUUCAAAUUUGAGGGGUUAUUUCAAAUUCUGUGAAUUUUUCCGAAUUUUCAAAGUUGGUCAAAAAUCAACCCCGAAACUGUCUUGCAAGCCUAAAACAGAAAUUUUGGGCCAAAUUUCGAAUGCCUUCCAUUUGGAAUCAUGGAAAAGUGUAUUUUAGGAACUUUUAGCACUUCGAAAAAAGUUUCCAACGGUACCAAGUUUUUCAAUUUUGGAUUUGUAAUGAGUGAGAUACGAUUUUUCAAAGAUCUCAUAUCAAAACUGAAAUUUUCGAAACUUAAGGAAAUGGAGUUUUUCGAAUUCUCCUUUUUCCCUCGAUAUCACUUGAACGUUUUACACUUGAUUUCAAAGACGAAAACUCGAUUUUUCUUGUGGUUUAAAAACCCCACUUUCGUGUCUUGAUUCGCGAGUAAUUUAGGUUCGCUUUCGUGAGAUUUUUUCUUGGAUUGUACAAGCGUACAAUCAUUCGUGAUAAUUAGGGUAUAUAAAUGAUAGUUCACUAUUAAUUGCUCAAGCUCGCACAAGGACCUUCAAGAGAAUUCCACGGUGGACACCUGAAUAUGAAGUGACAUUUCUUCUUUGUUUAUUUGGUGAGUGUCAAGUAUGUGUUAAAUGCUUAUAUGAUUGAGAUAUUAGUUGUACAAGUGUUAUACAUGACACGUAAACUUACCGAGUCGAGUGUGUACUUUAUCGCACUCGUUCUCAUUUGAAAUAAAUGACUCAUGCUUGACCUGACUUAACUUGCUUGACUUGACGUGACUUGCUUGACUUGACGUGACUUGCUUGAUCUGACUUGACUUGCUUGACCUGACCUGACUUGUCUUGACCUGACCUGACUUGCUUGACCUGACAUAACUUGACUUGAAAAAUAUGCUAUGGCUGCAUAAGUCGAUUGGAGCGAUAUCUCAUCAACCUCUGAACGAUAGCAAGUACCAUACCGAUUUGGUGGGAGGUACCUCUCGAAUCGUCUCAGACCUAUUAACUGAACGAUUGUAAGUACCACACCAAUUCGGGUGAGAGAUAUCCCUCGAAUCGUCUCAGUACCCUAGACCUCUGAACGAUAGCAAGUACCACAUCGAUCCGGGUGGGAGGUACCUCUCGAAUCGUCUCAGAACUCUAAAGCAUUCUAAGUCGAUUGGAGCGAUGUCUCAUCGACCUCUGGACGAUAGUAAGUACCAUAACGAUCCGGGUGGGAGGUACCGCUCGAAUCGUUUCAAAACUAUAAACUGAACGAUAGUAAAUACCACACCGAUUUGGAUGGGAGGUACCUCUCGAGUCAUCACAGAAACAUACAUGGAAUACGUGAAGGGCUACGAACUCAAUUACCUACCCGGGGGACGGGGUGUCGUCACGAGAAGGUAUUAAAAUUGAAUUUGGGCAAGGUAAGAAAUCAUUAGUUCCAGAGAGUUUCUGCAUCCUACUCAAGGGUGUUUAUUAUAAAUUAUGAAAUUUCUUGAAUGUUAUAGUUUUCACUAUUGUGUAAGUGCUAUUAUUAUUGAAUUACUUGUCUUGCAUAUUUUCUUGGCCUCACGAGCAUCCGCUCACCCCGUUAGACUUGCUUUCUUUAACAGGAGCUGAAAUGGAAGGAAUUAUGGAAAGGUCGACUUGAUGGCCUUUUUAUUAGAAUUUUGAAUGUAUUCAUUUAGUCAACUUUUGAAAACUGUAUAUUUUGGGAUUGUAAGAUAUUUUGGUAACUUAUGAUGUAAGACUUGAUCGAUUAUUAAGAAAUUGACCUUCCUUUAUAUUUUCGACUUUUAGUACUGAUUGGUUAUUUUUAAAUUUGAAUUGAAUUUGUACCGAGUUCUGGCGAGAGUUGGACAGGCGUCCCGCAGAUACCCUUGGGUUCGCCCUUGGGAGAAAUAGGAGCGUCACAAAUAGGCUAUAUAUAGGCAUAAGAAUUGAUAAGAAUAUUAAAAAUAGUUUUAUGUUAAUUUAAGUUGCUUAAAGUACAGAACUUUAGAUAGAAAAUAAGAAUUGAUAAGGAUAUAAAGAGAUAUUGAUAAGAAUAUAAAAAGAUGAUAAUAAAAAAUAGUUUUACUAAAGACGUGCAUGCUAAAAAAAUUAUAUGAGUCAUACCUUGUUGUUAGACCUAGAAGUUCACAAAUCAAAAGAGGAGCAAGCGGCCGCAAAUAUAUGAUUAUGAUAGAAUGAUAAUCAGCCGCGAAUAUAGGAUAGAAUGCUAAGGACGGUUUUAUAAGUCAAACAUGGAUGAUAAGGAUGAUUUUAUAUUUGAAAUUUGAUUUAGAUCGAUAUUGAUAAUUGAUUUCGUGCUUAUGAAAAGAUAGAGAUAAACUCCAUAUAGAGCAUAGGUUAUUUUUAAAAAAAAAGGUGAAAAUCAUGGAAUAAAUGAACAAAGGCAAAAGAAGAGAGAGAUGGAAGAGCGUAGAUUAUUUUAUAGAGCACAUUAAAACCACUUGCCCUGUCGUUAAGUCAUGUAGGAAAGAGAAAGCAUGAAACGAUAAAAAUGAAAAUAUGAUUUUAUUAUAUAUAUAUAUGACUAGUAUGAAUACCCGUACUACGCACGAUGUUGACAUUAUUGAAAAUAAAAUGAUGAAUAAAAAAAGGUUAAAAAAUUGUACCAACACAAUUAAAAUGUAAUAUCGGUCUAACAAUAGUUUAAGAUAUGAUAGAAUAUGUAUAUCAUUCAAGAACUGUUUUUUUGGGAAGAUAGAUUUUGAAAAAAUAAUAGAAAUUUAUAUUAGAAAAUGAAUAAUAUAUGAAUAAAAAUGAAUGUAAUUGAAUGUUGUUAAAAUGAAACACUUCCAAAUAUUAUGCAUUUGAUUUGAUAAUUUUGCAUGAAGAUGCGAACACUUUUCACACCAAUCAACUUUUAGUACGAAAGUCAAAAUUGGUGAUUUAAUUAAUUCUGUUGAAUUUUGUGGAGUGCGUACUACAAAUAAAAAUGCACGAUCUUUGCCUGAAUUGAUUCGUUGGUUGAACAACCUUUCACUAUUUUUCUGAGAAAUAAGCAUGUACGAAAUUCAAAAUUAGUGUAUAUUUUUAUAUACUUUAUAAAUAGCAUUAUAAAAAAGCACUAUAUAUCAAGAAAUUCUACCUUUAUUUGUAAUUCUCUGAGAUAAGAAAUAUCACAACCAAAUACGAAUCGUGCAUGUCUAUCUUGUAGAUUAAGAAAGUUCUCUUAAUUAGAGUGAGCACGCAAGAAAGUUGAAUGAGAAUGCUAUGUUUUGGAGGACUUUUAAUUGAAGUGAAAUUCUUAAAUUGGAGAAUUCUUAAUUAGAGUGGGAAAAUGGGGGAAAUGUAAGGAAAACGUGAACGUGAUUAUAGGAUUUUUAGAAGCGGUUAUAAGAUUAGUUAAAAGAUAAACAUUUCUUAAAUUGGAGGACUCUUAUUUGGAGUGGGAGACGUGGGAAAAAUGUGAGUAUAAUUAUAGGUUUUGUAAUAUACUCAAAUCACCGAUGAGAUAAAGUUUGCCUAAAUAAACUUUACAGUAUCCUAAUUCUUUGCAAAAAAAAAAAGCGCUAAAUAGUUAUAAUUGGCAUUGCAAUUUACGGCAACGUGCCAGUGGCAUCUAGUCCUAAUUUUUUUUUGGAUCAAAAUCAAGUCCUAAUUGAUUCUGCUGUUUCUCGAUCAUGUUGUAUGCUUCCAAAUUCUACUUAGCGUGUAAUAAUUGAUAAUGGGUUAUUCUAUUUUUUCAUGGUAUUGGACAGGUGAAAAUCACACCUGAAGUGUGAUAAAUUUACUAUAAACUUCUAAUAUUAUCUCCCCUAAUUUUUGUGUACUUUUUAAAAAUUUUAAACUUUUGUCAACAAUAGGCUAGUCACGCAAAUAAAAAAAAGUGACUGGUCACACAUCUUAGUCUUUGCCCUAAAGAACUCAAUCUAGCAAAUUUCUUAGAACAAUGGUGAAAAAAAUCAUAUUGUUUCUUUUUUUUUUUGGAUCUGAAACAGCCCUAUUCAUUUUUUAAAAAAUAAAUAAAUUGGCCAUCUUACGUUCAUUAAGAAAGGAAAAAAAUUUUUGUCACUACACAUGGAUGUCCGGCCAUCCUAAAAGGAAAAAAAACAAUUGUUCCGUUCUUGCAAUUUUUUUAGAGUUAAAUAUAGUAAACCCCUUAACUUUACAUUUAGUUGCACUUUACCCCUUCAACUUUACAUUUAGUUGCAUAUUUGUGAUUUUUUUGAAACGUGAUUGUAAUUUGCAACGCUCAUUUGUAGGCGUGGUUAUAGGAUCAGUUUAGUGAUAAAUAUUUUUUAAUUAUAAAAAUGUAAAAUUGUAUUAAAAUAGCAUACGAAUGAGCAUUUGUCUUUAAUUAAGAAGUAAAAAGGAUUUAAAGUAUAAAUAACAAACUAUAAAUGGUUUAUGAAGUAGAUAGUGAGAAAGCUUUAAAUUUUAAAUUUGACUGGUGAUAGGGUUGGUUAUAACCCACUACUUUUUAUGUAUUAAAAUAAAUACAAAAAUCUAGAAAAAAGAAUAAGAAGUUUGAAAGUCAUUGAGAGGCUCUUUCCUAAAAACCCACUCUGCAAUUGUAUCUAUAUAAAUUUGAGAAGGGAUUUUUUACAACGAGCCUCCACGUAUCUUCCUACUACCAAUUCCAUUUUUCUAGCAUUUCAUAUUUAAUUUAAUUUAUAAAAUAUAUUUCUCUCAACUUCCACAUCUACUAUUCACAUUUGAAAUUGUUGGUUACUUUUUAAAAUCAUUUCAUUUCAAAUUGUUAGUUAAUGUGCAUGUUAUCCUAUUUGAACUUCAACCCAUCACGUUUCCGAUUGCCUUGCGUUAUUUAUGAUUCUACAAAAAUUAAAACUUCUAUAAGACCAUAAGAAGAGAUAAUAAAUAUAACACAAUUUCAUGCUUUCUUAUUAAUUUAAAUAAGUAAAAUUAUUUACACUCCAUUUCUUAGUUAAAAUUAUUUACACUCCACUUCAAUAAUCAUUUUGAUCAUAUAAUUUUUAUUAAUUAGACUAUAUGAUAAAACAAAUGGUGGAAUUGUAAAUAAUAAAAAAUGGAGUGCAAAUAACAUUUUCUUAGGUAAGAAGUGGCUUCCAUACCUUUCUAAUUUAAAAAAGUAGUAACUCCGCUUAUAUAGAAAUUUGGUUUGAAAUUUAUUAGUGGGAGGGUAAAUAAAAAGAAAACAUUGCCAAAUUUAGUAACAAUAAAAAAGUAAAUGAUAAUAUUUUAUCUUUUAACUUAGUAAUUCUAAGUAAAAGGGCAAAAUUAAAUAGAAAACAAAAAGGAAAUAAUGUCGUGGAUUUAAAAAAUCAAGAAUGAUACCAUUCAUGAAAUUCAAACUAUGAAAUUACUAAAUAAAAAACAAAGUACUACUAGCCUUUUAACAUGAAAUUUUUUAUUGAAAUAUUCAUUUUUGAUAAAAAAAAAUAAUGAUAAUAACAACGCCAAUUCUACCAAAUUUUUUUUAAAAAGUAACAUUAUAGCUUAAGAGAAAUAUAUAGAACAUUCAACCCGUUUGGAUUAGCUGUUUUUGAGGUUGUUUUUCAAAAACAGCACUGUAGCAUUUCGUUUUUCAAAUACAAAUCCGCUUGGAUUAGUUAUUUUUGGGGUUGUUUUUCUAAAACUAUAUGAAAAACUUUUACUGUAGAUUUUUUUGAAUUAUUUUUGAGGUAUUUUUAAAACAUAUUUUUGAGUAUUUUUAUAAUUUUUUAUUUUUUUAUUUUUAUAUUUAUAUACAUUUAUGCAUUUAUAAUACAUUUAUAAAUAUUUAUAAAUAAAUAUAUUUAUAUAAAAAUAUAUAAAUGCAUUAUAUUAUAUAUAAUACAUAAUAUAAAUAUAUUUAUAAAUGUAUAAAUUAUAAAUGAAUAUUAUAUAAAUGUUUAUUAUAAUUUAAAAUUUAAAAUUUUUAUAUUUUUAUAUUUUUAUACAUUUAUGCAUUUAUAAUAUAUUUAUAAAUAAAUAUAUUUAUAUAUUUAAAUAAAUAUAUACAUAAUAUAAAUAUAUUUAUAAAUGUAUAACUGUAUAUUAUUAUAAAUGUAUAAAUUAUAAAUAAAUAUCAUAUAAAUGUAUAAUUAAUAAUUAAUAAUUUUUAUAUUUUUAUAUUUAUAUACAUUUAUGCAUUUAUAAUACAUUUAUAAAUGAAUAUAUUUAUAUAAAAAUGUAUAAAUGUAUUAUAUUAUAUGUAAUAGAUAAUUUAAAUAUAUUAAUAAAUGUAUAAAUGUAUAUUAUUAUAAAUGUGUAUAAAUUAUAAAUUAAUAUUAUAUAAAUGUAUAAAUUAAUAUAUUAUAAAUAUAUAUUAAUAUUAUGUAUAAAUGUAUGAAUAUAAUUAAUAUAAAUAUAUAAAUGUGUUAAUAUUAUGUAUAAAUAUAUAAUUAAUAUUAUGUAUAUUAAUAUAAAUGUAUAAAUGUAUUAUAUUAUAUAUAAUACAUAAUAUAAUGUAUUUUAUAAAUAUACAUAUAUAUAUUAUGUAUAAAUGUAUAAUAUAUAUAAUAUAUUAUGUAUAUAUUAAAUAUAUAAUAUAUAAUAUAUAAUAUACAAUAUUUAUAUAAAUGUAUAAUUACAUAUUUAUAUUAUAUAUAAUUUAUAUAAUAUAUGAUAUUUAUAUAAAUAUAUUAUAAAUGUAUACAAAUAUAUUUUAUAUAAAAUAUUAUAUUUAUAAAAUGUAUAAAUUAAUAUAUAAAUAUAUAAAUAUAUAAUAUAAAUUAAUAUUAAUAUAAUUUAUAUAUAAUAUACAUAAUUGAAAUAUACAUAUUAUAUAUAUUAAUAUCUAUUAUAAAACAAAAUUGCAUAAAUAUAUUUAUAAAUUUAUAUAUAUAAAUAAAUGUAUUUAUAUAAAUAUAUAAUAUUUAUUUCAAAUUAUAUAUUAUAUAAUAUUAUACAUAAUUGGAAUAAAUAUAUUUAAAUUAAUAUAAUAUAUAUAUCCUAUAUUUAAUUGAAAUAAACAUAUUAAAUAUGUAUUUGGAGUUGUUUUUGAUAUAUUGUUUGGAUAUGUGUUUUUGAAAUUGUUUUUGAAAUACACAUUUACUGUAGCAUUUGGAAUGUGAAAAACAGUUUUUCAAAAACAGCCCCAAAAACAAGAAUCCAAACGGACCCGUACGUAAUUUGUAUAUAUCUGGCCCAAAUUUGACAUUAGAUUUGAAUAAGAGUGCAAAAUCCAAACACUAAGGAUAAGUUUUGGUAUCACUAAGGAUACAUAUUUUAUGUAAAUAUGUAUUUGUUAUGUUAAAUAUAUAUAUAUAUAUUGAUUGUAAUACUUGAGAAUAUUAUAGAUAUUAUCAGUUUUUCAUUUUCAUUUUUAGAUACUAAUAAUUGCAACUAUUGCAAUUAAUUUUUAAUUUUAUAUUUUCAUUAUGAUAGGUAAAGUUAAAUAUAUUGGGUCACAGGGAUAUGAAUUUAGAGGUUAGGUAAAGGGGGAAUAGGGAGGGAAGAAAAUGGUGAGAAGUUGAAAAAUAGCAGGAAAGAUUGAAGAAGAAAUAUGGGUUACAAGGAUGGGCGGAAAAGGGAGAGAAGAAAAAAGGGGAUUGCAGGGAUAUGACAGAAAUGACAAAAAAUAAUAAUAAUAGAGAGAGUGACACCAUGAUAGAAGAUAUGAAAGUCAUAUGAGGCAUUUGAUGACUAAUCUAAAUGCGGUCAACAAUUUUAGGGGCACAAGAUAUGAGAAAGAUUUUUUUCUAAAAAUGGAAGAAAAUAAAUUGGUUAUAAUUUAUUUUUUUAUAUUAUAAGUUUUGAUAUAUGGGUAUAACAUAAUAUGUUUUGUCGGAUAUUAAGAAAUUGACCUUUUUCUAUAAAACUUUUCUUACCUUACCAUCCAACCCAACCAUAUCCUUAAAUGCGUUAAUAAUUCUUUUAUCAUGUAAAUCAUUAUAGAUUAUUUUUUUUUUCAAAUUAUUAAGCAUACACUUCUUUAAAAUUUUGAGUCUGCUGUGGGAUAUAUAAAGUAAUUUCCCACUAAAAAAUACAACUAGUGAUUAAACCGAUUCAGUAAUUCCCAAGAAAGAUCGUCGAAACAAUCUCCUUAGACAGAAUUACUUGGAAUGGUAAUUCUGUCUAAGGAGAUUAUUUCGACGAUCUUUCCUGGGAAUUACUAAAUCGAUUUAAUCACUAGUUGUAUUUUUGAGUGGAAAAUUACCCGGUUUCCCCAACAGGAUAUCACACAUAAUAUUAUAUAUACAUUAUUAGUAUAUAAAAUAUUUACUCUAUCAAUUAAAAGGAGCUCGAGAACCCAUCACAAUUUACUCUCUCUCUCUCUCUCUCAUCCAAAAACACAGGCACAACAUUCUAGUAUUCACAUACUUGGUAAGCUUGUUAUUUUUAUGGAAGCAUGAGUACUGCCUGCACAUGGUAACAAGUAUCUUUCCUAGUGUGAAUGAUACGUUGUUACCUUCUGUAGCCAAGUCAUCCGCCGAAUUUCAAAAAAUUGAUGGAGGAGUAUGUCAACUUUUGCACAGGUGCAUUUUGAGUGAAAUUAUAUACCAUUAGCUGGGUUAUUGCUUUAUCUCUGACUCCAGUCCACUGAAUGUGACCUGGAUGCUAAACUUCGACAGAGCUGUCUAGAAAAAUUAUGCGGGGUAUAGCUCUGGCAUUGGGUGGAUCACCAGUUGAAUUUGAAGGGACAAUAGCCGGUGAUCCAUUUUGGGUGCUGCGUAUAAUUGGCUAUCCUGGUGUCUCCCCUGCAAAUGGCCAAGACAUGCCAAAAAAUGAUAUUGGAUGGUGAGAUUGCUGAAGAUGGAUUUCAUCUUCUUUUAUUUCACUUCUAGCACUUGAUUGAUAUGAUUUUGUGCUUGUUUAUGUCUUUUAUCCAAAUGAACGCAGUGGAGCUCAUACGGAGUUUGGUGUAAGCAUGAGGUGUUCUUAUUUAUACGUGACGAUGACCUCUUGUUCUAUACCAGGUCUGGUGACGUUAGUCAAUCAAGAUGAUGGUAUUACUGCUCUUCAGGUAUCGCCCUCCUGUCUACUUUCUUCUUUAUUUGCCUUCAUUUUUUAGCAUUAGUGUGUAUCCUGAAGUUCUUCGUGUUAAACUUGGGUCUGUUUCAUUAGUUUCUGCUUGAAAUAUGCAUGUUUCUCUGUGUUCCAUUGACACCACUCUGCACUCUUAAAACUUUCAUUAGUUUCUGCUUGAAAUAUACAUGUUUCUCUGGUUUUUCAUUGUCACUACUCUGCACUCUUAAACUAGUCCCUUUGUAGGUAAAAAACCUUUCUGGAGAGUGGAUAUCAGGACCACCCAUUCCUGGGACAUUUGUUCGCAAUAUCAGUGACAUGCUGAAGGUAUGCAUCUCAAUAAUUGAUUCUCCAGUGGUUUUCAUGCUGUCAUCCGAUAACUGUUCUUAAUAUUUGGGAAUCUUCAGAUUCUAUCCAAUGGCCUUUAUGAAUCAACAUUGCAUCGGGUGACUAACAACUCUCCCAUUUAUCGGGUCUGCGUGGCCUACUUUUAUGAGGUAAUCCUCUCUCUUAAUUUUCCUUUUUUAUUUUGAUUCAGCUUCUUAAUCAAUCUCCUUGGUUUUUUUCACAUGAAUAGCCAAAUUAUGAUGCUGUAAUAGAGCCAUUGGAUGUAAGCGUAAAACAAACUGGUGGAACCACGAGGUUUGAAGGUGCUGUUUACGGUAAACACUUGGUCAGUAAAGUCCUGACAAAUUUCAUAUACUGAGGAAUAAAUAUAUCUCCCCAUUUUGCCUGUUUCGACUGAAUCUCUCACAUUCACGAAUUUUGGGGAUUUCAUCCGUUAGCCGUUGAAAGGAUGUACAAUAAUAUCUUGUGUUUAUUGGAUUAAGUUGUCGGUUGAUUUAAGAUGACAUGACCUCAUCAAGUUCUCGGAGUUUUUGGAACUCUGUACCUAGCUGAUCCCCGUUUCUUUCAUUUGGUUUUGCCUUGAAUUGUGCAAUUAUGUUGGCGUAUCAGUAUUCAACUAUUCAUAAAGCACCCUCAACUUUGGAACAUAAAUAUAAGCUGGUUGGCUUAGGCUUUAACUACGUAUUAAUGACAGCGAUGGUUUACUGUAUACACUUAUAAAAUACUCCCUCCGUCCCACUUUGACAGUUUUGAUUCUUUUUUUACACAAUUUAAGAAAAAGUAGUUAAUUUUAUUGAAACAAUCAAUUUAGGUGGCUAUUUUUCUAAAAUACACUCACAUUAAUUAGAGUACAACUUUAUGAGAACUUGAAUUGAUAGUAAAAAAAGAAUAAACUCUCAUUAAAUGGGGUAGGUUUAUAGUAACAACAACUUACAUUGAAUAAGGGUAUUUUAAGAAAAUUAAAAUACAAUUACAUUCUUCAAUUGGAAAGUGGACUAUAAUUUGGGACAGACGAAAAAGGAAAACAGGACUAUCAAAGUGGGACGGAGGGAGUAUUUCGCGGACAGAGGAAGAUUUUCUCCUCCAGCUUCUGACAACAAAAUACAUACAUAGACUUAAUAUUACGGCGUAAUGAUGGGGUAGGCACUUAGGCGGCUGGCUGCCGACACCGAAAUUCACGAGCCUGGCUCUUUUAAAGCAGCAUAUGUCGGCGAUGGAGGCCUUGCCCGCUUGGGCACAUGAUCGGAUGUCUGUGGUGUGCCCUUAGAAACAUAAAUGCCGCAAGGCACGUAGUUGAGCCAUUUCGGGUCCGGGCAGGUCCAGCGCCUUGAGAAGAAAGCCUCGCAUUCCUCGGGGCUUCUUUGCGAAGGAAGGUCUAGAAUGCAAUUCAUGGUUACGUUCAGGACUUUCUUCUCGAUUAACUUCCAGCAUUCUGGUCCGACUUGAGUGAAAUAAUUGAACUUGAGGUCCAGUACCUCCAGGUCGCCCAGGAUGCACAAGCUCUCUGGAACCGCCCCGUAGAAUUGGUUGUACGACAAGUUCAGCUGCUGAAUAUCUUUCAAGCACCCGAAUGAUUGUGGAAUGGGACCUGUCAAUUGGUUUAUGCUGACAUCCACAAUAUGUGUUUUAUUCAGAAACCCAAUCUCAUAAGGUAGGCAACCGGAGAGGCUGUUGUUUAAGAAAAGAACCUCGAGGAGAUUUCUGGAAGUUUGGCCAAUGCUCUUGGGGAUUGGGCCGGUUAAUUCGUUGUUUGCAAAGGUGAGAUAGAGUACAGGGGUUUGGCCAAGAUUGUGGGGGAUUUUUCCGGAGAAUGCGUUGUUGUUGAGGAAGAGCACGUCCAGGUCUAGUGUGAAGGCCUGAGGCGGGAUUGUCCCUGUUAACUGGUUGAACCUGACGUCCAGGUAUGUCAAGUUGGUUGCCCCUAGGGCUGCUGCGGGGAAAGCUCCUACGAGCUUGUUGUUGCUCAGGUCGAACUCGAAGAAGUUUGGAAGUUUGGAUAUUCCAAAGGGAAUGUCACCUGUGAAGUUGUUGGAGUUGACAUGGAAGAUUACCAGGUCCUUGAGAUCUUCAACGAAGUCUGUUGCAACGAGUGGACAGCCAGGUCCGCCGUUAAAGUUGAAGCCAUUGAAAUUGACGCCAACGACUCUAAACUUGUUAUCUUUGGUGCUUCUGUCGCACACGAAGCCUUUGUAUUUGGAUUUGUCGUAACAAAUGCGGUUGCCCGUCCAGGUUUUGGUGACGCCAAAAGGGUCGCACUUUAUUCUCCUUUUGAACCUUUGGAUUACUUGGAUGGCCAUUUUUAGUUCCUCGGAAAGAGUAAAUGGAGGGGGCGGGGGUGGACAGGGAGGAGGGGGCGGUGGCGACGGGGGUGGAGGGCAGGGGGGCUGCAUUGGAGGCUGUGGGCAAUCUUGGCAUUCUCCAUUGUCAGGAGGGUAGGCAGGGGAAUAGGGAGGACUGCCAACCCCUAUAACGAUUUCGAGUGUUUCCCUGUUGAUCGGGGUAGUUGCUGGAGUACCAUUACCAACGACUUGAUAAAACCAGCAAGAGUGCAGGAUAACAAAGAAGACAAGAAGAGGAAAUGUGAGUGAGAAAGUGUUCUCUCUCUCCAUAUUCCAACACUUCUGAUGAUUGAACCAGGAGGAAGGCACAACCUAUAUAUGCUAAUGGGUAGGGAAUGGCAAUGAUAGGUGAUUCAGUGAUUUGAGCCAUACUGCCAAUAAAGAGAGAUGAGUUCAUGAGGAUGACGUCCUUCAAUUGUACCAUGAGUUUCUGUUGUUUUGGGCACUAUGAGUGGGGCUUCCUCAUCAGGGCGGAGCCAGAAAAAAAUCUUAGAAGUAACAUGUGAAAUUUAAGAGGGGCAGUGGGGACCGUGCCCCCAGUGCCCCCACCUUAAAUCUGCCUUGUUCCUCAUGCAAUAUGUAGAUUCUUUUACAUGUGUUGUGUUGUGUGUAUACAUAAAAUUUUAAAAAUAAAUAAAUAUGUUAAAAAAUGUGUUUAUAAUAAUACAAGUAAAUAAUUUUUUGAUAAAUAAUUACCAUCCAAACGGAUCAAGUAUUUAAGGAGUUUACAAGUUUUUAAGAAAUGAAAAUUAAUACUACUACUCAGAGCAUUUUAAUCGUAAAAUGCCAUUUCUGCAAUUGACCAGUGAUCUACGUGUCAGAUAGUAUUGGAUUUUUAUUUGUAGUAAGGUAGGCCGCCAAAGUGACAUCAGACGUUUCAAAUGUUAAGUUCUCCGCUUAAAGUUUGCCGUCUUUUAUUCUUUCUAUUUUCUUUUCUGCUUUAGGGUGAAGAGUGUCUUCUUUUUUUUUUUUACAAAAGCUUGAUUUUGAUUGUAAACCUACCCAUACGUUCCGAAAAUAUUUAAGAUUUACCGGAAAAAAAAAAUAAAAACUACAACUUAUUAGCUACAGCUAUCUUUACUCCGAUCUACUCUAUAAAUAAGAGCAACACUUUCACUUUAAAAGAAAAAAGAAAGAAUAAUACAUCGAUGAUGUCCAAUAACACGACGGACUUGGCAGGAUGAAGCGGCCUGCAAUGGCUGUGAAUCCGUUCCCUUUCAAAACCAGCAAGUCCGUUGCCCCAGCGCUCCCCUUUUACAAAAGGCAACCGACACAUCCGCCGCAGCAGGUUCGAGACAGCUCAAAAGGCAGGCCGCCAGAAAAGUGAAAGAGAUAGUAGCCAGUAGGACAAAACUUCGCAUGAUUGACCUUUCAACGAGGAUCUGUCCUCUUACUAUUAUUUCCUAGGACAAUUGCCCUCCCAAUGCAAUUCCGGAGGAGCCAUCCCAAUCGUCAAUACAUCCUUCCAAUCUUGUGCAUGUGCACUUCCUCCUUGAUGUUCCUACUGUGUCGCAGUUGACAUGUGCAUCCCCAAUCGUCUAUUCUCACCGGCAUAAACAUUUUACACUCAAUUUUGUAUCUGCACUAACAAACUGUUCCCCUAAUAUAUCUUUACAGGCUACUCAGAUGCCAAGGAAAAUUAAACAAAUAUCUUCAAGAGGGACCAAUAGGUUCCACUCUGCCUUUCCCAGAGUUCUAUAGCUGCCCUUUUCUGCUGUCUUCUCUGGAAGAGUUCUAUUUUCAUUCCAUCUUUUACUAUUUUAAUGCAAACUAGGGCCAAAAAAAAAAAAGGGUUCACGAAUCUACCAAGUUAAGGUUUUUAAAUUUUCUGGCACAAUUUCACCACCAAAGUAUUCCUUUAAAAUUCCUAAAGCUUUGCCUUCAACAAUGAUGACCAUCCAAUCUGCAGCCUAUGUCAGAUAGUGAAGCAGCAAAAAGAUAAAAGAGGAAAGUAGAAAACAAGGCAGCUAAACGUGUCGCAUGAAAUUUCAACUGUCAGUGGCACUCGUAUGGUUUCUAACUUGUCCGACACUGGCGCACACAGUUUUGCCAACACUCUAGAUUUUAUUGCACUUUUGUCUACAAAGAGACGUCUAAAUGCUACUGAUAGGAUAGAUGAAAACCACUACUCUGCAAAAGGAAGGAAGAUGGAACUUCAUUAUGAUUGCAAAGAGCGCUAUGGUGAGAAAACUAAGCAAUCUUUAACUAAAUUCAAUGAAGCCAAGAACAGAAUGACACUGAGGAAGCAUAUAGUGAAACAGUGUUUCACACUGGCAAAUGUCUAACAAAUGCAAAAGCUAAUACAAUGAACUCAGAACAAGUUAUCCUUGGAAGGCACUAUUACCUCACCAACAGCACUGAUCAAGCAAACAAAUUUCUUCGUACUAAGCAACUCUUCAGGUGAAAGAUUGUAAACAAUUCUAAGCUAAAGUGCUGAUUACCGAACAACAGAGUGAAGUACAUUCAUGAUACUUUAGGACCAUGAUUAACAAAAUAUUCCAGCUCAAAAGCCAAAUAAUGGCAGAAGAAGGAUAAAGUAACUUCUCUUACCUCAUCACAUGUCACAGGAAGAAUCAAGAGGAAUCAACUCUCAUGCUGUUAACCUCCUCAUUCAACCACUCGGGCAUUACUUCCACUAGUAGCAAGCUAACAGCUAUUGACUAGCAGUAGAAAGAAUAACAGUGUAACUCAACCUCCUCAGACACCACUUUGGCAGAAUUCUAUACUACAGCAAGCCUCAAAUAUGAAAUCUCUUCCAGGACCAUAAAUCUCAUGUCGCAAAUCCAUUUGCAGAUGCCCUCUCCACUCUGCUAUCCUUCACAUACAGUGGUAUCCUCACACCAAGAUCCCUAAGUCGAUUAACCACGUCGUAGAGAAACUCAAAUGUGAGUUUUGAUUGUGCAUUAAGGUCAUCUCUUACAUUUGGAUGUACCCUGAACCAAUCUCCUAGCAUCUUAUGCACAUGGGAACGAAUCAUUCUCCAUGGCACUGGAUAACUCUCACAAAACUUUAAAUAUUCAACUAGUAAAUCCGCCUGGUCCAGUUUUCCAUCUACACAGAUAUCAUCACUUCCUGAUACCCAUUCGACAGUACGGUAUCCAGCAAAGAGGGCUGGGUUUUCCAGCAGAGACUCAGCUGAAAGUACCCCCUCAACCGCAGUCUCUUCCAAACAGCUCUGCACAUCUUCCAUGUAUCUUAUAUUCCCAUUAGCCAGAACAGGGAUUCUCAUGACAUCUCUAACAGCCUUGAUGGCACUCCAAUUGGCACGAAAUUUCUUCCCAUCUUUUUCAUCCCUAGUCCGACCAUGUACUGCCAAAAGAGCACAACCAGCAUCUUCCAACAUCUUGGCAUAAUUGAUUGUGUCUUCCAAAUUCGGGAAAAGUCGUAUUUUGCAGGAGAUUGGAACACUAAGGUUGUUUGCUAGUUUUUCUACCAUAGAUUUAACCAAAGGAAGAUUGUCCAUAAGGAAAGCUCCAUAAUUCCCUCGCCUAGCGAUACGCUGCGGACAUCUGCACGGAUGGCAAAUAUACAACGCUUAACUAUGCCUACUUUCAACCAAACUCAACGAAAAGUGAUUGUAAUGGUACAAGCUCACAGCAAGACAACUUCCAGAUGCCAGUUACAUGGAAUUGCAAGGAAAUUAUACUCGAAAGAAUUAGCCACGGCAAAAAGUGAGCAAUCAGUAUAGUUAGAGUCAAUAUGGAAAAACUGUUCUAGAAUACAUGUACGAGAUAAAUAUGCAGCACUAGGUGCAAUAUCAGCUUAAUGAAAAUGCCCGUUAUGUCAUUCAUUACGGGAGUUCCUCCUUCUACAGUAGUUAGCAAUAGUAGCUAAACAAGGAAGGAAAAACAUGGGUAGAAGGCGUUACCCCAAAUUGAUGUCUACAUAAUCGCAGUAGGGUUCUACUCUCCGCGUAGCCUCCAACAAUAUAUCUGGAUCAUUCGCACAAAAUUGCACAAAUAGCGGACGGUCCUCCUGUCAUUAUUUCUCAGCAAAUUUCUCCUUAAUGAAAUUCAAAACUAUACAACUUCACAGACUAAGUAACAAGAAGCAUAAGACAAGUAACUAAAAACAAGACCCGAAAUUACCUUGCAGGUGGUAAAUUCUUGAGAGCGGUACUUUUCAGUUUCGGUAAAAAUACGAGAGUGAAGCAUAGGGGUAUAAGCAGCUUGAGCUCCGUACUUGCGGCAAAGCAUGCGGAAGGGGAGCUCGGAGUUGUCGACCAUGGGGGCCACUAUGAACUUAGGUUGCCCAAGCUUCUUCCAGUGUGCCCAGGCUCUCUCGAUCCGCGACUCUGUGCUCAAGUACCCGUUUGGAUUUGGGGCCGGGAGGCCGUCCAAAUGGGCUGUCUCUCCUUCUGGUUCUCCUUGUGGUUCGGAACAUAGGCGGUCGUCGUCGUUGCAGUUUGACGAUGAAGAGGAAGUUAGGGUUUCGAUGGCCAUCAAGUUAUACGAUGAAUUGGGCGGCUGUGGGCAAAUACUACGUGUGGCGCAGAGUGGCUUCCUAAUAAAUCUCAUAAGGAGGCGAUGGAGGCUGGGGAGGGUACGCAGCCCAUGACCACCCUUGAAGUUGGGGAGGGGGAAGUUUUUGCUUCAGUUUAUUUGGAGGGAGGAGGCGGGGGCCCGCGGGAUUAUAGCUGUUUUAGAUGGGUAAAAAAAAUCAAAUCUUUUGUUCAGACAAGGAUAGGGUUGUUUUGGAGCUGAGGCUCCAAAUAAGUCUGAUCUUGAUGCAUUCUAAGUAACUUUUAAGCCGAAUUACUCAAGACGAUUAAUCCGAGUUACAUAAUAACUCGCAGGCUCAAGCUUACGUAUCAACUAUCAACUAGUAUUUUAACCUGUGCUAUGCACAGGUUUAUAUGAGAAUGAUGGAAAAUAUUGUCAAAUACAAUAUAUUAUUAUUACCCCUUUCUCUCGUAUUCUCGUCAUUCAUACCAUUUUUUUCACCUCUCAACCUCUUCUUUCCUCAAUAUUUCCCUUACUCUCCACUACUCUCAUUUUCACUUUUUGAAUCUAACUUUCUCACAUCCCAACAAUCUUUUCUCAUUUCUUCAGAUUCUACCCAAUUUUUUUUGUAUCCCUACAAUCCUUUCUCGUUUUCAUCAAAUUCUAGUUUCUCUUGGCUUUAUCGCGCUCCCACCCAAUUAUCCUAUCUUUUAUUUAAUUUUACAGUCCACUUGUCUCCUAUUCUAUUAUUAUUUUCAUCUAUUUAUAAAUGUAAAUGGCAACUGACUCGCAUAUUAACAAAUGAGUUUGCGUGUGUAAUUUAACUGGACACAAAUGAGUGACCAAAUUAACCCAUUAAUUAGUGGGUAUGAAAUUGAUAGAUUUGGAUCACUUAUUUUGACUUAAUUAAAUUAGACGUAGAUUCAAACUCAAUCAUUAGUGGGUAAAUCUAAAUUACUCUAAUAAUUAUAUUCUAAUUUUUGCAAAGAUGUAUUCAUCAUUUUUCCUUUUCUUUAAUUUCUAUUAUUUUAUUUUUAAAAAUUUAUCAUACUUCCUCCAUUCCUUUCAUAAAAGUUUAAUAAAUAUUGCGAAUGUUAAUUGAUUGUUUGCAUUAAUACUUAAAUUAUUUUUAGAAUAUAGUAAAGUGACAAAAUUUGAAACUCACUAUGAGCAAUUUUUAAAGUUUUUUCUCCUUCUUUAGGUAAAAAUUGUUUUAUUAACUUCAUAUGUUGAUAUGAUUUACUAUUUUGUUACUAAACAAAAUAUGGAUGAAAAAGUAAAUAAAAUUUAGUAGCGGGUCGUGAAUGGGUGAUUGGAUAAUCCAAACCUAUAUAAAACUAUAUUCAUUGACGACUCGUUUAGUUUGAACCAUUAACUAAGUAGGAAUAUAUAGAUUAACCUAAUUAUCACUUGCCCAAACUCACAUGAAUCAUCUAAUUUGAUAACUUGCCCAAAAUUUUAUCAAAAUUUUGCUAAAAUACCACCAAAAGCAAUCUUCUAAAUACACCUUUAUUAAUUUAAAAUUCAUACAUAAAUUUUUCUUUACGUGCACUUUUGGGUGUACAUGUGCUAAUUGAAAAGUCAUAUAGAUGCUUACAUGACAUUAAUAUUGAGUUCAUUAUAAGUGUCAAUGAAAUGCCAUAAUUGUUAUUUACAUGCUCCAAUUUAAUGUUAGAGCAUAAUUUCAACAUUCAAAUUUUAAAACUUUAAAAAAACAAACCUACUUAAUAAAAUCCAACAUAAAAAAUAUAAAAAACAAACAUAUAACAUAAAAAAUAAGAGUAAUCGAGUAUAUCAUUAGAAGAUUUUGACAAAUGAUUAUUGUGUCCAGAAGGAAAGUGAUAAAGAAAUAAUUGGGUAAAUAAGUAAAAAAAUAGGACUAAUCACAUUAUCUCAAGGAUUUGGCUAGAUAAAUUAAUCCUAUUUAAUGAAGGAAUAAAAGGGGCUAAAGCGAUAAAGAUAUAAUAGGGUGAAUAAUUUAAAAUGAGACUAAUCAAUUAUACCUGAAAUUUUUGACUUGACAAAUGAGUUUUAUUUAAUUAAGGAGUAAAAGGACUUAAAGUAUAAAUAACAAACUAUAAAUGGUUUAUGAAGGAGAUAGUAGGAAAGUUUUAAAUUUUAAAUGUGACUAGUGAUAGAAUUAGUUAUAACUCACUAUUUUAAAGUUUUUAAUUAGAUUUUAUAUAUUAAAAUAAAUACAAAAUUCUAGAAAAAAAGAAUGGAAAGUUUGGAAGCCAUUGAGAGGGUCUCUGCCAAAAACCCUCUCUGCAAUACAUAUAGAUAUAGAUAUUAAAUAUCAAUAUCAUAUCCUGUUUACUUCUUAUCUCGGAUAUGGGAUAUCACACAUAAUAUUAUAUAUACAUUAUUAGUGAAUAAAAUAUUUACUCUAUCAAUUAGUUAAAACUAAUUACUUAUAUGACCAGCAUAUUAGUUAUCUUCUAUUAUUCCCUCCAUCCCAUUGAAAGUGUCAUACUUUCCAUUUUAGAAUGUUUCAAAACCUUUACGUGUUGCAAAAAUCAAAGCACCGAUUAGUCAUUGUUUCCAAUAUAGCCAUUCUUUUUAAUCAUAUGCAUAUUACCAUUCAAAUUUAAAUUUUGAUUUUAUGGGGGUAAAAUUGAAAAAAAAAUACAAAUAUCACAAUCAAAUCACUAUUUUUAAAAAGUCGAAUUCCGAAACAUGAUUAAAUAAUUGGGACGGAGAGAGUAUAAAUUAUGGCUAGCAAUUUUUUUAUUUAUUUUUUAAAUUAGUUGUUGACACAUGACCGGAUUCUGGUAUUAAUUAAGAAAAAUCAGCCAGCCAUUAGGAUGAAAUAUAGUAAAUAAAAACUAAAAUAUUUGAAACUACAUUUGCUUUCAUCUAAGCUUUUGAAACUAAAAGCACUCAUACUCCAAAUGUUUAAAACUAAAAUUGCAAUUCUCUACACGAAUAAUUUCACUAAUGAACAACAAGAGUCGCGGCAAGACAUUAUACCGUUAGACAUUUUUGGUCAUACAAAUUUUCGCAACGAGGCCCAUUCAUCCGUCGCUAGGUUUUACAUGGCGACCAAUGCAGCAGCCAACUACAAGCCUAGCCCAGCAGAUAGUCUAAAGUUGGAAAAAUAUGGGGACCUACGCUUGCUUCUCUGAUGUUCAACGGACCCUGCCUGUUAGUAUUUUUUUUUCAAGCCGCUGCCUGUGGCAAUUUACAGGGACCACGGGCAGGCGAUUUUGUGCAUUUUACACACCGUUUAAUUUUAUUUGCACACGAUGUAAUUUUAUUUAUACAACGUGUACUUUUAGAAUAAAUUUUUGUGAAUUUAACACACAUCGUUAAAAACAAGAUACAAAAAGUAAUUUGAAUCAUAUAAUUUUUUUGGAUCAAAUCUUAACUGUGAAUAGCUCUGGUGCGAUCCUUCUGAUGAUCACUCCAGCCGCUCAUCCCAAUUUACAGAAACAAACAUGGCAUUCGGAAAUCAUGCAAAUUUUGCCCAGCCCCACCCCGCUGCACAUUUUGACUUUGCAAUAUGAAUCGUGGGGUUCCAUGCCCAACCCUUACACACCAACCAUUUUCCCUUCUUCCAAUUCUUCCGGUCUUCUUUAACUUCUGACUACUGACUAGUGGAAUAAAACUAGUACUAUUCUGCACAUCCAAACCACUUUACCAGAAUUCCAUAAUUGCAUUUAAAACAUAAAAAAGUCCCUAUUACAGUAACAUCUAUCUAAAUUAAUAAAUUCAAUUAAAUAAUAAUUUUUUAAUCUCAGUUUGGGCUAACGAGCUAAAUUAAUCAUUUCGAUAGAAUAAUAAGAUAAUAAUUUUAAAAAAAUGUUACAUAACUCUUUGAUCCCAUUCGUAUCAUAAAUUAAUAAUUCACUAAAAUUAUACAUUAUAUUUUCCCAAAUUAUAAGUAUAUUGUUGUCUGUUUUUCUUAAAAUUUAAAUUAGCUAAAUUUUAUCCCUAAUUUUCCUUUCUGCAUCUAAAAGUUCUAGUCUCAUGUUGCAAUAAACAAUAAGACAUUAUCCCUACAACUUUUUUAUUGCAUCUAGAAGUUCUGGUCUCAUAUUGCAUUAAAGAAAUUAGGAAGAAUUAUUGAUGCUUAGAAUGCUUCUUUUUGCAUAACAGGAUCUAAAAAUAUUAUAUCAUACUCAACUUCAUCACUAACCGAAUUUUAAAUGAUAUGCUAGUAACAAUUUCUUCUUGAAGACAUUAAUAGAAUUAAAUUAUACUUGCAAAUCAAGUAGAUAUACUUAAAGAAAUUAGUCUCCUUUUGUUAAUAGAAUAAUUCAUAUUUUUAUAAAAUAAAACAAAACUUCAAUUGAUUAAAUGAGUGUUUAUUUGAUAAAUCAAUAAUUUAUUAAUUUAUCAAUUAAUUAAUAAUACCUCUUUAAAAUAACAGAAUUUGUAUCAUUCCAAAGUUACUAAGGCCCUGUUUGGCACUUGAAUUUUUUGUCAAGUUUAUCUGCUACAAGUUUUUUAAAAAUUUUAGUUACAAUAACCUCAAAAAAAAUUUUAAAACUUUUAAACUAGACAUUUCAAAAUAUUCAAAAAUUUACACAUUUCAAAAAAUUUUAAAAAAACUUCUACAGUAAACUACAGUAAAAUUUUAAAUAAAUAUCUAAAAAACUCACUUACCAAACGGACCUUAUAGAGAGGUUUUAUUGUAUUAUUUUACUACCAAAUAGUGGAGCAUACACUUAAAAUUAGUCAUCAAAAUGGCCACCUUCCCCUUAAUUUCUUGGUCAACCGUCCGAAACACGAUAUGUCCUACACCGGACCAAUGCGGUCAUCUUCUUUGACUAAGCCCCAUCUAUAUUCUCGCCACCACCGCUUUAUAGUUUAUACUUUUAUCAUUGGGACCGAAAAAGCAAAAGCCACCAUAGACCAAAGAACAAUUGGCAUCCCAGAACAUUUGAACCAAAAAUAAAAGCAGUCUUUUUCUACAUAAACAAAUCAAAAGCAGACUGCAAAUUGCAGCUAUCUUCUUUGAAAUGCGCCAUACAUGUACCAAAUCCACCACCUGCCCUGCUUCUUUGCCAUUAACUCACCUUCAUUUGUCAAUUCGUUUAAUUCACGAUUGAUGACCCAAAAAGAAAAGAAGAGAGAGAAGAAGAAAAACAGAUAAAUGAUCAAGACUAAAAGUUGUUGUACAAGAAAUAAACUAAAGUCACUAAUAAUCAGUCUCUAAAAUCUCCUUCGAGACACAAACUGAUUAAUACCUAUUAGACUGCUAGAUAAUUACGCUAUUACACAAUUUUACAUUUGUUUCCCCUACAUUUUCCACCCUUUUUGGGCACCGAUUAAGUGUGUUGCGGUGGAACAAAUUAUAAUCCUGAUCAGGAAGACUCCAG